RNAcentral lists this ribosomal RNA (253 nucleotides) under uncultured bacterium. RNAcentral describes it as "partial 16S ribosomal RNA". It matches the Rfam family "Bacterial small subunit ribosomal RNA", at positions 524 to 776 of the family's 1533-position model. The record is from RNAcentral.
UACGUAGGGUGCGAGCGUUAAUCGGAAUUACUGGGCGUAAAGCGUGCGCAGGCGGUUGUGCAAGACAGGUGUGAAAUCCCCAGGCUCAACUUGGGAACUGCGUCUGAUACUGGAUGGCUUGAAUUCGGGAGAGGGAUGCAGAAUUCCAGGUGUAGCGGUGAAAUGCGUAGAUAUCUGGAGGAAUACCGGCGGCGAAGGCGGCAUCCUGGACCGAUAUUGACACUGAGGAGCGAAAGCCAGGGGAGCAAACGGG